RNAcentral lists this ribosomal RNA (858 nucleotides) under Laccaria moshuijun. RNAcentral describes it as "partial large subunit ribosomal RNA". Lineage: Eukaryota; Fungi; Basidiomycota; Agaricomycetes; Agaricales; Hydnangiaceae. The record is from RNAcentral.
GACUAACAAGGAUUCCCCUAGUAACUGCGAGUGAAGCGGGAAAAGCUCAAAUUUAAAAUCUGGCAGUCUUUGGCUGUCCGAGUUGUAAUCUAGAGAAGUAUUAUCCGCGCUGGACCGUGUACAAGUCUCCUGGAAUGGGGCGUCAUAGAGGGUGAGAAUCCCGUCUUUGACACGGACUGCCAGGGCUUUGUGAUGUGCUCUCAAAGAGUCGAGUUGUUUGGGAAUGCAGCUCAAAAUGGGUGGUAAAUUCCAUCUAAAGCUAAAUAUUGGCGAGAGACCGAUAGCGAACAAGUACCGUGAGGGAAAGAUGAAAAGAACUUUGGAAAGAGAGUUAAACAGUACGUGAAAUUGCUGAAAGGGAAACGCUUGAAGUCAGUCGCGUUGGCCAGGGAUCAACCUUGCUUUUUUGCUUGGCUUACUUUCUGGUUAAUGGGUCAGCAUCAAUUUUGGCCGGUGGAAAAAGUUCAAGGGAAUGUGGCAUCUUCGGAUGUGUUAUAGCCUUUGUUCGCAUACACUGGUUGGGAUUGAGGAACUCAGCACGCCGCAAGGCCGGGUUUUUAACCACGUACGUGCUUAGGAUGYUGGCAUAAUGGCUUUAAUCGACCCGUCUUGAAACACGGACCAAGGAGUCUAACAUGCCUGCGAGUGUUUGGGUGAAAAACCCGAGCGCGUAAUGAAAGUGAAAGUUGAGAUCCCUGUCGUGGGGAGCAUUGACGCCCGGAUCUGACCUUUUGUGACGAUUCUGCGGUAGAGCAUGUAUGUUGGGACCCGAAAGAUGGUGAACUAUGCCUGAAUAGGGUGAAGCCAGAGGAAACUCUGGUGGAGGCUCGUAGCGAUUCUGACGUGCAAAUCGAUCGU